RNAcentral lists this ribosomal RNA (319 nucleotides) under uncultured eukaryote. RNAcentral's name for it is "partial 18S ribosomal RNA". It matches the Rfam family "Eukaryotic small subunit ribosomal RNA", at positions 1470 to 1796 of the family's 1831-position model. The record is from RNAcentral.
CCCUUAGAUGUUCUGGGCAGCACGCGCGCUACAAUGGUCUUCGCAAACGGGUGCAUUCUCGAAGGAGAAUGCCAAUCUUGGAAUCUAUGCCUUGGUCGGGACAGUUGCUUGCAAUUUUUCGACUCGAACCAGGAAUUCCUUGUAAUCGUGAUUCAUCACAUCACGAUGAAUACGUCCCUGCCCUUUGUACACACCGCCCGUCGCUCCUACCGAUCGAAGAGUUAGGUGAAUUGUUUUGAUCGAUAAGAUUUGACUAUGGUCAACUCUCGUUGUGAAAUUCUGUGAAUCUGACUGUUUAGAGGAAGGAAAAGUCGUAACA